Molecule: long non-coding RNA, 394 nt
Organism: Brassica rapa (field mustard)
Lineage: Eukaryota; Viridiplantae; Streptophyta; Magnoliopsida; Brassicales; Brassicaceae
Source: RefSeq, a predicted model, not a curated record
GAAAUACCUGCAUACGAGUAUGGGGAAUGUAUAUUCUGGGAGUAAUGAUCGUCCUCGGUAAGCUUAGCCAAAAUUAAAUCAAUUGCCCGCAUCUGCUCCUCGAAGGUUCCAGAUAAUGUCACUAGCCUAUCACUCAAGCCAUAGUAGGUAUUAUCCAGAGGGGAUAUCUUAAUCCCAGCUUUAGACUCCUCAAUGAAUGACCUGUCUCAAAAGAAAGAAAACGGUUAGUACUACUGAAAAAUUUGAUACCCCAGACUAACACUAAUACUUCAAACUGAGUCAUCUCUAAUAUUCAGGACCUCUUUACACCUUAUAUAGGAUCUUAACUUGUUUAUGCAUGCAUUCAGAGAAAAUACUUGCUCUCUUAAAAUGAAUCAGAGAAAAUUUGAACACG